UCUGGCAUAACCCCGGGAAACUGGGGAUAAUUCCGGAUAACGCACAUAUGCUGGAAUGCUUUAUGCGUAAAAUGGAUUCGUCUGCCCAAGGAUGGGUCUGCGGCCUAUCAGGUAGUAGUGGGUGUAAUGUACCUACUAGCCAACAACGGGUACGGGUUGUGAGAGCAAGAGCCCGGAGAUGGAUUCUGAGACAUGAAUCCAGGCCCUACGGGGCGCAGCAGGCGCGAAAACUUUACAAUGCGGGAAACCGUGAUAAGGGGACACCGAGUGCCAGCAUCAUAUGCUGGCUGUCCAGGUGUGUAAACUACACCUGUUAGCAAGGGCCGGGCAAGACCGGUGCCAGCCGCCGCGGUAACACCGGCGGCCCGAGUGGUGAUCGUGAUUAUUGGGUCUAAAGGGUCCGUANCCGGUUUGGUCAGUCCUCCGGGAAAUCUGAUAGCUUAACUAUUAGGCUUUCGGAGGAUACUGCCAGACUUGGAACCGGGAGAGGUAAGAGGUACUACAGGGGUAGGAGUGAAAUCUUGUAAUCCCUGUGGGACCACCUGUGGCGAAGGCGUCUUACCAGAACGGGUUCGACGGUGAGGGACGAAAGCUGGGGGCACGAACCGGAUUAGAUACCCGGGUAGUCCCAGCCGUAAACGAUGCUCGCUAGGUGUCAGGCAUGGCGCGACCGUGUCUGGUGCCGCAGGGAAGCCGUGAAGCGAGCCACCUGGGAAGUACGGCCGC
Molecule: ribosomal RNA, 726 nt
Filed under: uncultured archaeon S30-24
Lineage: Archaea
Description: bacterial SSU rRNA
Rfam family: Archaeal small subunit ribosomal RNA
Source: RNAcentral